This 541-nucleotide ribosomal RNA is filed under the name uncultured Wolbachia sp. RNAcentral's name for it is "bacterial SSU rRNA". It matches the Rfam family "Bacterial small subunit ribosomal RNA", at positions 109 to 685 of the family's 1533-position model. The record is from RNAcentral. Lineage: Bacteria; Pseudomonadati; Pseudomonadota; Alphaproteobacteria; Rickettsiales; Anaplasmataceae.
AGUAAUGUAUAGGAAUCUACCUAGUAGUACGGAAUAAUUGUUGGAAACGGCAACUAAUACCGUAUACGCCCUACGGGGGAAAGAUUUAUCGCUAUUAGAUGAGCCUAUAUUAGAUUAGCUAGUUGGUAAGGUAAUGGCUUACCAAGGCAAUGAUCUAUAGCUGAUCUGAGAGGAUGAUCAGCCACACUGGAACUGAGAUACGGUCCAGACUCCUACGGGAGGCAGCAGUGGGGAAUAUUGGACAAUGGGCGAAAGCCUGAUCCAGCCAUGCCGCAUGAGUGAAGAAGGCCUUUGGGUUGUAAAGCUCUUUCGGUGAGGAAGAUAAUGACGGUACUCACAGAAGAAGUCCUGGCUAACUCCGUGCCAGCAGCCGCGGUAAUACGGAGAGGGCUAGCGUUAUUCGGAAUUAUUGGGCGUAAAGAGCGCGUAGGCUGGUUAGUAAGUUAAAAGUGAAAUCCCAAAGCUCAACUUUGGAAUUGCUUUUAAAACUGCUAACCUAGAGAUUGAAAGAGGAUAGAGGAAUUCCUAGUGUAGAGGUGAA